UUGUUAGAAGAUAGAAAGACUAAGACUCAUACGGACUUCGGCUACUGAUAAUAGGUUUUUAAGAUCAAUUAAUCCUAAAGCACUAUCAUGUCGUUGUAGUACUGAAGGUUGUCAAUCCAAAUGGGUGUGAUGCUAACUAUCAAGAUGUGAUCAGAAGUCACUAAGUCAAGCCAAGCAAUAACAGGUUGUGGUGUGUUCUAGCAGUCCUAAGUAAACAUGUGGAAAACAGAAAACAGCUCUUUGAAGAGC
Molecule: small RNA, 249 nt
Filed under: Arabidopsis thaliana (thale cress)
Lineage: Eukaryota; Viridiplantae; Streptophyta; Magnoliopsida; Brassicales; Brassicaceae
Description: ATSL268890
Source: RNAcentral